Molecule: long non-coding RNA, 1697 nt
Organism: Electrophorus electricus (electric eel)
Lineage: Eukaryota; Metazoa; Chordata; Actinopteri; Gymnotiformes; Gymnotidae
Source: Ensembl
CUCCUUGGCGUUGUGAUCAUUCUCUUCUUGCCCACAGGUCAUUCCCUCAACUCCACCCCACCACCCAGGUACCCUGCAGAUGGAGGACCGGGAACACUCAGGCCUGUGCGCGCUGCGCCUCCCCCUCCCAAACAACAGGCUCAGGGCCAAGUGCAAAAAAGGGAAGCAGUGGAGAUCACGCUGGUGUGAGGGGCGCCGCCCUGGUGGUCCUGGCCCGUUUCGACUGAACCGCCCUCCAGGGCGGUCCCCGGGCCCACUUUGAAGGGAGGGAAGGAUUGUAUUAUGCCAGAACCAGAAUUGUGGCAGCAAAGUGAAAGGUUGGAUGCAUCUGGAAUGCAUUUUGGAGUAAGCAGAGCUUAAACUAGAGGUCUACACACACAACCUCCCGCCCCAUGUGACACAUUCUGUGCUUUAGUGUUUUUCCCUGUCUGGGAGGUCAUGCCAUCUGUUUUGACUUCACCGCUGAAGUCAUCACUAAACACUUAAGCUAGUGAGUGUGAAACAUUCGGGGGAAUCAACAAAAAAAAUCAGAUCAGCAAUCAGCGGGAAAACCCCGUGUGUGUAGUGUUCUAGGGGGGUUAUGGGUGCAUUUAAACAAACAUGAAUGGAAUCAACAGCAGUGGUUGAGCUGGCGUUCAACUUUGUUGUUCACUUCCUGUGGAGUGGUCUGGCUGAGGUGGUCUGGCUUUCACAGCCAAGAACAUGAUUGGAAGAAAACGGACUUCCUAAAGGGAAAACGGACUUCUUAAAGGGAAAAGUGGCAAUUAUUAUUUAGUCCAUUUUAGAUAGUUAUGAAUUUGUAGUAUGUUUAAGCUCAAUACAAAAAAAAAAAAAAAAUUCUGAACACUGAUUUGAAAUGUUUGUUUCAAAACUAAUACAAAGUGAAAAUCUUAAACCUAAUAUUACGUUUUCUGUGGUCAGUCAGUAUUUUCAGAAUCGUUGAUAGUGUCACUUUACGACUGUCACACGAUGACUGAGAUGGCUAAGAGAACUGUUUGGCAUUUCAUGAAAAGUGACUUGACUUGAUCCAGAUUUGGAGCUUUCAAACCAGAGUGUCACUCGACAUAUUUCCUUGACAGGUGAAAAAGCACUUUAGUGUUGAUAGUUCUAGGGCGUCACAGUAUUAUUGCUUGUGGAGUCUCACUACUCCUGACCAGAUCGACCGACCUGGCUGCUCAUCCAUGUUUAUGGUCCCAGCAGGUGUGGUUUUGGUUUAAUGUAAUUUAUUUCAACGAUUUUAGUUAUGAUGUCAGCUGAUAUGUCUGUCUUUUCAAUCGUUUUUAUAUGUAACUGUCGCCUUUUUCCUCUUUCAAUCCAUGUUCUUUAAACUAGUUUACACAUGUUUCGUGGCUUGCUUUUUCCAUUAAUUGCAUUUUUAGAAAGAUUAUAAUUGUGCUGAAAUAAUAGGUAGAUGAACCUUAAAACCUUAUUGUUCGUGCCUUUGAAAUCUGUUGCAUGUUGUGAAAUUUCGUAUAGGAGUUUACAGUGUAUUUAUCUUCCAGUCUUGUGGUGCUUUUUCUGUAAGACGUCUCAUCGGUUCUUAAAUAAUGUUGAAUAUCUUGUUUGACUGAAAUUUUUCUUAGCGUUGUUUGCAAGCUGCUAAGAGCACAAAACCCAACACUGUUUGCUUAGCAACAGGAUUUUUAAAAAAAAUAAAAUAAAUAAAAUUUACAUUUAUCAUGUGAAUGAUAAAUAAU